GGGGAAUUUUCCAAUGGGGCGAAAGCCNCCACGGANCNAUGCCGCCUGGAGNUAGAAGGCCCNCGGGUNAUGAACUUNUUUUGCCCGGAGAAGAANCAAUNACGGUAUGUGGGGGAUANGCAUCGGCUAACUACUGUGCCAGCAGCCGCGGUAAUACAGAGGAUGCAAGCGUUAUCCGGAAUGAUUGGGNGUAAAGCGUCUGUAGGUGGCUUUUUAAGUCCGCCGUCAAAUCCCAGGGCUCAANCNCUGGACCAGGCGGUGGAAAGCUAUCCAAGNCUGGAGUACCGGUAGGGGUCAGAGGGAAUUUACCGGUGGACGCGGUGAAAUGCGCAGAGAUCGGUAAUAUGAUAUCACCAACGGCGAAAGCAUCUCUGCUGGGCGCGACANUGACACUGAGAGACGAAAGCUAGGGGAGCGAAUGGGAUUAGAUACCCCAUGUAGUC
RNAcentral lists this ribosomal RNA (443 nucleotides) under uncultured cyanobacterium. Its description in RNAcentral is "partial 16S ribosomal RNA". It matches the Rfam family "Bacterial small subunit ribosomal RNA", at positions 356 to 795 of the family's 1533-position model. The record is from RNAcentral. Lineage: Bacteria; Bacillati; Cyanobacteriota.